RNAcentral lists this ribosomal RNA (1352 nucleotides) under uncultured bacterium. RNAcentral describes it as "bacterial SSU rRNA". It matches the Rfam family "Bacterial small subunit ribosomal RNA", at positions 28 to 1381 of the family's 1533-position model. The record is from RNAcentral.
AUUGAACGCUGGCGGCAUGCCUUACACAUGCAAGUCGAACGGUAACGGGUCCUUCGGGAUGCCGACGAGUGGCGAACGGGUGAGUAAUAUAUCGGAACGUGCCCAGUAGUGGGGGAUAACUGCUCGAAAGAGCAGCUAAUACCGCAUACGACCUGAGGGUGAAAGGGGGGGAUCGCAAGACCUCUCGCUAUUGGAGCGGCCGAUAUCAGAUUAGCUAGUUGGUGGGGUAAAGGCCUACCAAGGCAACGAUCUGUAGUUGGUCUGAGAGGACGACCAGCCACACUGGGACUGAGACACGGCCCAGACUCCUACGGGAGGCAGCAGUGGGGAAUUUUGGACAAUGGGCGCAAGCCUGAUCCAGCAAUGCCGCGUGCAGGAAGAAGGCCUUCGGGUCGUAAACUGCUUUUGUCAGGGAAGAAAUCUUCUGGGCUAAUACCCCGGGAGGAUGACGGUACCUGAAGAAUAAGCACCGGCUAACUACGUGCCAGCAGCCGCGGUAAUACGUAGGGUGCGAGCGUUAAUCGGAAUUACUGGGCGUAAAGCGUGCGCAGGCGGCUUUGCAAGACAGAUGUGAAAUCCCCGGGCUCAACCUGGGAACUGCAUUUGUGACUGCAAGGCUAGAGUACGGCAGAGGGGGAUGGAAUUCCGCGUGUAGCAGUGAAAUGCGUAGAUAUGCGGAGGAACACCAAUGGCGAAGGCAAUCCCCUGGGCCUGUACUGACGCUCAUGCACGAAAGCGUGGGGAGCAAACAGGAUUAGAUACCCUGGUAGUCCACGCCCUAAACGAUGUCAACUGGUUGUUGGACGGCUUGCUGUUCAGUAACGAGGCUAACGCGUGAAGUUGACCGCCUGGGGAGUACGGCCGCAAGGUUGAAACUCGAAGGAAUUGACGGGGACCCGCACAAGCGGUGGAUGAUGUGGUUUAAUUCGAUGCAACGCGAAAAACCUUACCUACCCUUGACAUGUCAAGAAUUCUGCAGAGAUGUGGAAGUGCUCGAAAGAGAACUUGAACACAGGUGCUGCAUGGCCGUAGUCAGCUCGUGUCGUGAGAUGUUGGGUUAAGUCCCGCAACGAGCGCAACCCUUGUCAUUAGUUGCUACGCAAGAGCACUCUAAUGAGACUGCCGGUGACAAACCGGAGGAAGGUGGGGAUGACGUCAGGUCCUCAUGGCCCUUAUGGGUAGGGCUACACACGUCAUACAAUGGCCGGUACAGAGGGCUGCCAACCCGCGAGGGGGAGCCAAUCCCAGAAAACCGGUCGUAGUCCGGAUCGUAGUCUGCAACUCGACUGCGUGAAGUCGGAAUCGCUAGUAAUCGCGGAUCAGCUUGCCGCGGUGAAUACGUUCCCGGGUCU